GACGAACGCUGGCGGCGUGCUUAACACAUGCAAGUCGAACGGAAAGGCCCUGCUUUUGUGGGGUGCUCGAGUGGCGAACGGGUGAGUAACACGUGAGUAACCUGCCCUUGACUUUGGGAUAACUUCAGGAAACUGGGGCUAAUACCGGAUAGGAGCUCCUGCUGCAUGGUGGGGGUUGGAAAGUUUCGGCGGUUGGGGAUGGACUCGCGGCUUAUCAGCUUGUUGGUGGGGUAGUGGCUUACCAAGGCUUUGACGGGUAGCCGGCCUGAGAGGGUGACCGGCCACAUUGGGACUGAGAUACGGCCCAGACUCCUACGGGAGGCAGCAGUGGGGAAUAUUGCACAAUGGGCGGAAGCCUGAUGCAGCAACGCCGCGUGCGGGAUGACGGCCUUCGGGUUGUAAACCGCUUUCGCCUGUGACGAAGCGUGAGUGACGGUAAUGGGUAAAGAAGCACCGGCUAACUACGUGCCAGCAGCCGCGGUGAUACGUAGGGUGCGAGCGUUGUCCGGAUUUAUUGGGCGUAAAGGGCUCGUAGGUGGUUGAUCGCGUCGGAAGUGUAAUCUUGGGGCUUAACCCUGAGCGUGCUUUCGAUACGGGUUGACUUGAGGAAGGUAGGGGAGAAUGGAAUUCCUGGUGGAGCGGUGGAAUGCGCAGAUAUCAGGAGGAACACCAGUGGCGAAGGCGGUUCUCUGGGCCUUUCCUGACGCUGAGGAGCGAAAGCGUGGGGAGCGAACAGGCUUAGAUACCCUGGUAGUCCACGCUGUAAACGGUGGGUACUAGGUGUGGGGUCCAUUCCACGGGUUCCGUGCCGUAGCUAACGCUUUAAGUACCCCGCCUGGGGAGUACGGCCGCAAGGCUAAAACUCAAAGGAAUUGACGGGGCCCCGCACAAGCGGCGGAGCAUGCGGAUUAAUUCGAUGCAACGCGUAGAACCUUACCUGGGUUUGACAUGGAUCGGGAGUGCUCAGAGAUGGGUGUGCCUCUUUUGGGGUCGGUUCACAGGUGGUGCAUGGCUGUCGUCAGCUCGUGUCGUGAGAUGUUGGGUUAAGUCCCGCGACGAGCGCAACCCUUGUUCACUGUUGCCAGCACGUUAUGGUGGGGACUCAGUGGAGACCGCCGGGGUCAACUCGGAGGAAGGUGGGGAUGACGUCAAGUCAUCAUGCCCCUUAUGUCCAGGGCUUCACGCAUGCUACAAUGGCUGGUACAGAGAGUGGCGAGCCUGUGAGGGUGAGCGAAUCUCGGAAAGUCGGUCUCAGUUCGGAUUGGGGUCUGCAACUCGACCUCAUGAAGUCGGAGUCGCUAGUAAUCGCAGAUCAGCAACGCUGCGGUGAAUACGUUCCCGGGGC
This 1345-nucleotide ribosomal RNA is filed under the name uncultured bacterium. Its description in RNAcentral is "partial 16S ribosomal RNA". It matches the Rfam family "Bacterial small subunit ribosomal RNA", at positions 28 to 1380 of the family's 1533-position model. The record is from RNAcentral.